RNAcentral lists this ribosomal RNA (248 nucleotides) under uncultured bacterium. RNAcentral describes it as "partial 16S ribosomal RNA". It matches the Rfam family "Bacterial small subunit ribosomal RNA", at positions 83 to 334 of the family's 1533-position model. The record is from RNAcentral.
CCCAAGCGUCGAGCGGCGGACGGGUGAGUAACGCGUAGGAAUCUACCCAGUAGCGGGGGAUAGCCCGGGGAAACCCGGAUUAAUACCGCAUACGCCCUAAGGGGGAAAGGCCGGGAUCUUCGGACCGGUCACUAUUGGAGGAGCCUGCGUUGGAUUAGCUAGUUGGUGAGGUAAAGGCUCACCAAGGCGACGAUCCAUAGCUGUUCUGAGAGGAAGAUCAGCCACACUGGGACUGAGACACGGCCCAG